Tribolium castaneum (red flour beetle) is the source of this 1701-nucleotide RNA transcript. RefSeq lists it as uncharacterized. The record is from RefSeq and is a predicted model, not a curated record. The transcript is spliced from 3 exons. NCBI's taxonomy places the organism in Eukaryota, Metazoa, Arthropoda, Insecta, Coleoptera, Tenebrionidae.
AACCUAAUAGUAGAACGUCCAAGACCGGUAAUCACCUUUUUUAAUAUUGAUCAAGUCUUAGGUAAUUAUUCUAAUGCGACUUGAUAAAACUUAUGCCAUUUAAUCGUCUACACAUGUCUUUAUCAGCAUAAAAUUUUAAAAAAUGACCCGAGUUAUAUAAAAGCCGGUCACUAGAUUAAAACAUCAAUCGUGGGUGAAAAUGGCCCACAAUCCAAACCUUUUCGAGUUAAUAAAAAUGUUCAAAAUUAGAGACCCUUUCGCAAUAUUAAAAAUCAUCCUAAAAGCUGAACCUUUCAUUCUACUUAAAUGGUGUUUUAUCGACUUGAGUUACCACAAGUUUGUAAAAAUCUGCAACGUGUUGGCACUAAUUAUUCACUCGGUGUAUUUCGUAUUCGACGUUUUGUACACAAUUGAGAAUUUCUCGUUGGAUUUUUUGCUAAAAUACAGCUCAUCCAUGUUGAUUUAUAUUUAUGUAAGUCUGAAGUCUCACAUGGAAAAUUUCACAAUGAUUACAACAGGUUAUAACUAACAUGGUUUUUGCCAUGGUUAUGGAAAAAUACACUCUUGAGAUGGUAAAUUUGUCCGAGUCUGAAUUUUGGCCGAUGGAUUUCGCUGGUAAACGGAUGGAGGCAGAGAUUGGCCGAAAUUAUUUAAUGACAAGGAUUGUUUAUUAUUUUCUUGGGGGCGCUUUGUUGGCGUCAAUGCUCAUUUUGCUCCCGUUUUUUGGCGAUUUGAACGACUGGUUGUUGAGUUCGCAAAUGUCGGUGGAUUAUUUCGGAGAGUGGUCAGUGCUAGUGGACUUGAUUCUUUUUUCCACUGGGCCUAUGGUGGCACUUAGCGAAAUUCGCGCCCCUGCUGUAUUUCUCUACGGCAUUUACAAAAUCGAUUUGCAGAUUUUUCUGCUCAAUAAACUAAUCGUCCAACUAUCGCACGAAAAAGCCAGGGAUGAUGCCAAGUACCAGAGGAGAAUUUUCGCAAAGUUGCGGCAGUUUACCAAACAUCAUGCCAACUUGAAAAAAUGUAUGAGGGGGAUUUCCGAUAUCAUGAAUCUGUCAAUGCCGGUGUUUGUUUUUAUAGGAGCCCCUGGUGUAAUUUCAAUUAUGUAUUAUUUUCUUUAUGUAAUUGUCGAAAUUGUUUGUUUUUUUUUGAUUACGAAUUAUUUCAGAGUCUUGAUUCUGCAAGCACUAUUACGAAAAUUCGGUCAGUGUAUGUGGCCGUGUUCACAAGUGUUAUCGUGGCCACGUUUGCUCACGCUGGUCAGAAAAUCAGUGACAAUACAAGUCUUAUUUUCGAUACUUUGACCACUUGUCCGUGGAAUCUUUGGGAUAAGAGAAACAGAAAGGUUCUUUUAAUUUUUAUGGCGAAUUCUGUAAAACCGAUGACUUUUUCGGUGGCUGGGAUUACGGUGGAUUAUCAGUUUGCGAUUAAAGUACGUUAUGGAAGUUGGGGUUUUGUAAUGUUUGAAUUGUUUCAGAUGAUAAAACUUAGUAGUUCGUAUGCUUUGGUCUUGUACCAGCUGAAAAAUCAGUAUAAUAUGAAUUAGUGGAUUUUUUGCAAUCCUGUUCAGGGCAUUAGCUUGUAGGAUGGAAAUUAGUGUGCUAUUUGAAAUAAUAAUACUGCAAGUUAUAGUGUUUUAUUUUUUAUUAAUAUUUUGUUUAAGUUACAAAGACAAAAAAAAGUGGUUAGCUAAAAAUGGUGGAU